Molecule: ribosomal RNA, 109 nt
Filed under: Caerostris extrusa
Lineage: Eukaryota; Metazoa; Arthropoda; Arachnida; Araneae; Araneidae
Source: RNAcentral
GCCAUACCAUGGUGAAUAUACCGGUUCUCGUUAGAUCACCGAAGUCAAGCAUCAUUGGGCGCGGUCAGUACUUGGGUGGGUGACCACCUGGGAACACCGCGUGCCGUUG